GAUGAACGCUAGCUACAGGCUUAACACAUGCAAGUCGAGGGGAAACGGCAUUUAGUGCUUGCACUGAAUGGACGUCGACCGGCGCACGGGUGAGUAACGCGUAUCCAACCUUCCCAUUACUGUGGGAUAACCUGCCGAAAGGCAGACUAAUACCGCAUAGUCUUCGAUGACGGCAUCAGAUUUGAAGUAAAGAUUUAUCGGUAAUGGAUGGGGAUGCGUCUGAUUAGCUUGUUGGCGGGGUAACGGCCCACCAAGGCAACGAUCAGUAGGGGUUCUGAGAGGAAGGUCCCCCACAUUGGAACUGAGACACGGUCCAAACUCCUACGGGAGGCAGCAGUGAGGAAUAUUGGUCAAUGGACGAGAGUCUGAACCAGCUAAGUAGCGUGCAGGAUGACGGCCCUAUGGGUUGUAAACUGCUUUUGUAUGGGGAUAAAGUCAAUCACGUGUGAUUGUUUGCAGGUACCAUACGAAUAAGGACCGGCUAAUUCCGUGCCAGCAGCCGCGGUAAUACGGAAGGUCCGGGCGUUAUCCGGAUUUAUUGGGUUUAAAGGGAGCGUAGGCCGGAGAUUAAGUGUGUUGUGAAAUGUAGACGCUCAACGUCUGACUUGCAGCGCAUACUGGUUUCCUUGAGUACGCACAACGUUGGCGGAAUUCGUCGUGUAGCGGUGAAAUGCUUAGAUAUGACGAAGAACUCCGAUUGCGAAGGCAGCUGACGGGAGCGCAACUGACGCUUAAGCUCGAAGGUGCGGGUAUCGAACAGG
RNAcentral lists this ribosomal RNA (761 nucleotides) under Prevotella melaninogenica. RNAcentral describes it as "bacterial SSU rRNA". It matches the Rfam family "Bacterial small subunit ribosomal RNA", at positions 28 to 776 of the family's 1533-position model. The record is from RNAcentral. Lineage: Bacteria; Pseudomonadati; Bacteroidota; Bacteroidia; Bacteroidales; Prevotellaceae.